This is a long non-coding RNA of Coturnix japonica (Japanese quail), 1154 nucleotides long. RefSeq lists it as uncharacterized. The record is from RefSeq and is a predicted model, not a curated record. NCBI's taxonomy places the organism in Eukaryota, Metazoa, Chordata, Aves, Galliformes, Phasianidae.
AGAGGGAGAGCUUGUUCCAGCAGACGGGCCCCAUCCGCUCCUCCCGUCCGAGGGUUGGGAAGAAGGGAUGGAGGCGAAGGGAACUCUCCCACCCCUCCGGGGCCCCGCGGGCGCGCUGCUUCCCAGAAAAUACGGUAAAAAGCCUUCAGCCUAAAAAUAUUUCUCCUUAGCAAGUAAACACAUAGAAGUCAACAACAGAUGGAGCAUCACAUGGAGCUACGCAGGAAAAGAUGGAAGGAAAACCCAUGGAGACAAUGUGAGACAUCCCCAAAAUGAAGCCAGAUGUGCUGCUCCAUCUGUAACCCAGUGCUGGAAGGAGGACUGAGACCUGCUGCAUUGCAAGCCUGGAGAAAGAUACCCACCUGGACUCCUUCCUCCCAGCUGCAUAAAGAAGCCCUGACAGCUUUUACCACCAUUGACACUUGCAGGAAGAAAAGUUGUUGACAGUUUAUGGGGGUCUGCUUUGGCUUUAGAUGAAGCAGAAGAGUGCACAUCACUUCUGCUACAGGCUGUGCUUAGCAGCGGAGCAAGGCAUUGCCUUAGCACCAGCAGCACUCUGAAUUCAGCUCCACACUCCAUGUUUUCCUUCACUAAGUCUAAUGAGGGCUGCAGGCUGCUAGGGAGGCACACAGCAGUAAAGACUGAAAACGGCACCCAGCUGCAACCUAUGCAACCCAGGAUCUGACUCCUGCUAAUCUGGCUUGUAUGAGGAUGCUCUUCCCAAUGUCUGAUUUAUCCUCGUACAGUAUGUAGUGUCAUUGUUUUUAUCAGAAUUCCAUAUCAUAACAUCAUGCCAUACAUUCUCUGUAUUUGGGCUGCUGGGGUUGUAGUUCCUGGUUUCCUUAUGGUGUGGUGUUAUUAUAUGGAAUACUGAUGGAUACCCUGGAUGUGCUCUGUAGGCAUAUUGGGACCCAGAGUGAAUGCCCACCCAAGGACCACAGACAAGUACACCCAUAAUAACUAGCUGGGGAAGCAGCACCAUUGGGUGUAUCAGCUGUGUGUAACCUCCAGCAGAGUCAUACAAGAAAUGCUUGGCCUGACCCAAAGCCCACUGGAGUAAAUAAGGAGGAUCAUUGCUUCCAGGAACAACGUGGAUGUGGUGCAAUCAGGGAGAAAGGCAAAAAAUAAAGCUGUGUAAGCAUCUGCCUAACAUU